UGCCAUCUUUCCCUUUACGGUAGUGGAACGACCUCACUUUCUUUGAUCAUACAUUAUACUGGAGCAAGUACUGGAGAUACUAGAACAUCUUGGACAAUCUGCAACAAAGCAUCAUCAAUAAAUAAGAGACUCAUUCAUUCGCUGUGAAUCAUUGUAAAUUUGGAUUGGAAUAGCGCAGGUAAGAGUUUCCCCUUUCUGCAGCACACGUCCACGUGGAAAAAGGUUUCCCUAUCGGAUACAUUUUUAUCGAAUAAUCUCAUUAUAUUAUAUUUAUAAGUAAAGGCUGCGAAGGAAACCACAUCAAAUCUAUAACCAAUGGACCCAAAAUCUUUUCUUCUAUUCAUAGCUUGUCUGAUGGGCGUCGUCCAUACAGACACUGUAGAUGUCAAAAGCUACGAUUCCAGCAUCGACGAGCAAAAGCAUGGACAAACGCUUUUAUGAUACUUAGAUCUGCAAUACUAGGUAUACUUGCAAAGUAUUGUAACAAUUUAAAUAAAUAAAUCUGGAGUUGUUUAUACA
This is a long non-coding RNA of Photinus pyralis (common eastern firefly), 519 nucleotides long. RefSeq lists it as uncharacterized. The record is from RefSeq and is a predicted model, not a curated record. The transcript has 3 exons. NCBI's taxonomy places the organism in Eukaryota, Metazoa, Arthropoda, Insecta, Coleoptera, Lampyridae.